UCCCCGGUCCCCGUCCCUGCCGCCUCAGCCCUGCGCUUUCCGCCUCGUCCAGCCAGCUCUGCGCUGGCCUCUGCGCCAGCCCCGCGGCGCACGGUUGUGAUGGCGCGGCGCACGGUGUGUCCUCAGGGCGCUGAGCCCUCCGUCGGGCCCGCUCCGCCGCCUCAGCCGCUCCGCCGUCAGCCGCCGGCUCCCGGCCUGUCAGCGCCUAACCGCCGCUUCCCUCAUCUUUCAGUCAGUCUUACAAGAACCUGCCUCUCACUUAAAACUUUAUCCUGAAUGUCUCCCGAUGGCGCGUCAAGCACGUCGACGUAGCGGGGACGUCAUUUGUGUGUGCGGUUUGUGGAAGCUUACAUCACUAAAUAUGUCACUGGAUGGUGUCCACCCGCUGAGCCAUCCUCUGCUCAGCCAGGCUGGAUGUAAGUCAUUCUCUUCUGCCAUUAUUUCCUACUGAGGAGCUUCCAGUUUCUAACAGAAUUUUUUUGCUAUUAGUUCAUGUGACAUGACCUAAAUCCACGUACCAUUUAAUUUCAUUCCAGUCUUAACUACUCUAGUCAUCAGGAUACUUUUAAUCGAUAAUGUCUCCUAAUUUCAUGUCACAUCAAAAAACCUCAUCACAAUUUUAAAAUUUCUCUCCUAAAGCCAUUCAUUCUGUGAUGGGAUGUACACUAGCAUUUAGCACUGAUAAUUUUUUCUUCUUUACCAUAGCCACUGUUUCAUAGUUUGAAAUGAUAUGACACCAUCCUUACUUUAUCAAUAUGUUAAAAAUUCUGUCCGCUGGACCUGCAGCUCAGCGCAGUGCCUCCAGAACUCAGUGGGGAGGCUGACCCGUCAACCUGUCCGAAUAAAGCCUCUGGCAUUUUGCUGCCACCUUUCACGGACCAACACGCUGCGAAGGAUCUUACACGUUUAAAAUGUAAGCCCGUUCAUGCGGGCAGGCUGCCUCAAGGCACUAAUUUCCAGUCUUAGAAAUUAUAUGCAAAACUAUGAACUAGCCUUAAUUAUACAAUUAUGAUGUAUGUGUAAUACACAACAUCCAGGAGGAAAUAAUUGUUUCAGGACACAUUUGUAUAUUCUUUAGACUUCCACAUUUGUUGCUAUAGUGCCCAUCACAGUCCAAUAUUCCUUUUCUUGUAUCUGUUUUUCCUCCUUUUUUUCUAUUUGCUUUUGUUUCUGUGGAAAAUUUUCAGUUUGUUGUUUUGGGUUUUGCUUGGUGGGCAAUUGUCCAUCUCUGAUACUUCAAAUGCAUGAAAUCUAAUUAUCUUUCAAGUUUGAUGGAAGACUAUGAAAACCAGAAUAAGAGGGAAAUUUAUCUCUUCAGCAUUUAUUUCACUGCAAAUUCUUGAGAUAACUGCACUGGUGAAAAGGGCUCCCGAGUAACCUUCUGUAGCACAGAGGGGCAGGAUUUUCUGAGAACUGUGUUAUAUGUGGUAUGAGUCAUACCAGAGCUCGGGGCAACACGAUACUCCAGAUACCCUCAGCUGAGGAGACUGCAAAACCCAUUUCUGUUUGAAUAUCCCAGAAUAGCACUAUGAACCAUACAUUAGAUGACAUGCAAUGACUAUUUACAGCAGCCCAAAGAAUAGCCUGUGACAGAUAACAGCUAGGACUUAUUUUAAGCCCAUGUUCAUUUUGGUGUUUGGCCGGCAUUAAUGAAGUGCAAGACAUGCCGCUGUAAACAGAGGCUGAAGAUGCGGGGCGUACACUGAGAGAGGCCGUAGUGGCAGGUUCACAGUAUGUAAACAAUUCCACUGAAAUCACACAUCUAUUUUGCAUACUGAUAAUACAAAAAGGGGAAUUCUUAAUCUGCCGGGCCAGGAUUUCUCUGUGAAGCUCCUGGAGGAGUAAGUCUGGGAAAGUCCAGAGGCUGCAGACUGAGAUCAGCACUAAGGCACAGACCAGGUGAACCACCGAAUGAAAGCACAAUGGGGACAAUUUGAAGAAGACAAAAUCACCCACAGCAUACAAACUAACAGAGGUGCAUCAGUCUUUUUCCCAUUUUUUUAUAGCCAUGUUUUUUGAGGAUUAGAUAUUCGUAGCCUGUCGCUACAGAAGAUCUGUUUGCCGCUCAGAGCAGUGAAAUGGUAUCAAGUAUAUCAGCAGCAAAGUAUUCCUCCUUUAAACAGCCAGGAGGUUUAGGCCAUCUUAUCAUUACAUUUUGAAUACAUUCUUUGACUCAUGUUUUCUUAUAUACAGCAGUAGCUGAUUAAAUAUAUUACUGAACUCUGAAAGUCUUGAGCAUAUGAUGUGAUUAUGAAACUUCAAUGCUUUUGCUGUUUUGUUUACAUUAUCUUCAAAAGCCUGAGAAUUUCUUAGACAUUUUGUUCUUAGAAUAGUUGCCAUCUAUUUUAAAAGAGACAAGCUGCAUCUUCAACAGCCUUUUUUAAUGAUUCUUCUUC
Chroicocephalus ridibundus (black-headed gull) is the source of this 2396-nucleotide long non-coding RNA. RefSeq lists it as uncharacterized. NCBI's taxonomy places the organism in Eukaryota, Metazoa, Chordata, Aves, Charadriiformes, Laridae. The transcript is spliced from 3 exons. The record is from RefSeq and is a predicted model, not a curated record.